UCAGGCAUAGGCAGGCGGGGAGCAGCGGUAUCGUAAACCGCAGGUGGUCGGUUCAAGUCCGACAGUCGGCU
RNAcentral lists this transfer RNA (71 nucleotides) under Candidatus Zambryskibacteria bacterium RIFOXYC1_FULL_39_10. RNAcentral describes it as "tRNA-Thr". The record is from RNAcentral. Lineage: Bacteria; Candidatus Zambryskiibacteriota. RNAcentral also lists the same sequence under 1 other name.